GCGGGAAGAGCUCAAAUUUGAAAUCUGGCAGUCUUCGAUUGUCCGAGUUGUAAUCUAUAGAGGCGUUUUCCGUGCCGGACCGUGUCCAAGUCUCCUGGAAAGGAGUAUCAAAGAGGGUGAUAAUCCCGUACUUAACACGACCACCGGUGCUCUGUGAUACGUCUUCUACGAGUCGAGUUGUUUGGGAAUGCAGCUCAAAAUGGGUGGUGAAUUCCAUCUAAAGCUAAAUAUUGGCGAGAGACCGAUAGCGAACAAGUACCGUGAGGGAAAGAUGAAAAGCACUUUGGAAAGAGAGUUAAACAGUACGUGAAAUUGUUGAAAGGGAAACGAUUGAAGUCAGUCGUGUUCUUUGGAUUCAGCCAGUUCUGCUGGUCUACUUCCUUGGAACGGGUCAACAUCAGUUUUGUCCGGUGGAUAAAGGUAGUAGGAAUGUGACUUCUCCGGAAGUGUUAUAGCCUAUUAUCACAUACACUGGGUGAGACUGAGGACUGCAGCUCGCCUUUAUGGCCGGCCUUCGGGCACGUUCGAGCUUAGGAUGUUGACAUAAUGGCUUUAAACGACCCGUCUUG
This 569-nucleotide ribosomal RNA is filed under the name Trichosporon asahii. RNAcentral describes it as "eukaryotic LSU rRNA". It matches the Rfam family "Eukaryotic large subunit ribosomal RNA", at positions 98 to 656 of the family's 3401-position model. Lineage: Eukaryota; Fungi; Basidiomycota; Tremellomycetes; Trichosporonales; Trichosporonaceae. The record is from RNAcentral.